RNAcentral lists this long non-coding RNA (894 nucleotides) under Prunus persica (peach). RNAcentral's name for it is "long non-coding RNA (PPER_LNC006237)". The record is from RNAcentral. Lineage: Eukaryota; Viridiplantae; Streptophyta; Magnoliopsida; Rosales; Rosaceae.
AAAAUAAUCCAACACGGGAAUCGUUUUGGCUGAACCACAUGGAGGAAUUCUCAACAACCAUGUGGCCAGGGACUAGCUAUCCAACCAGGGGACUGGGCUCACCAGAACGCAUAACAUAAUCCUUAAUACCCGUGUGCUGUGACAUGUCUUACACGCGCAAACUAUCCAAACCAUAUUUCACGAGCGGGGUAAUAUAUAUAAUAAAAAAUAUCUCAAAAUCCAAUUUCCAAAUAUUCAAAGGUAACCCAAACCCAUAUAUAUAAUAACAGUAAUUAUAAUAAUAAUAAUACUAACAAUAGUAAUCCCUGGAAAUCCCAUAAGACAAGAUAAUAAAAUCCAAAACACCAUAUUUAAAAUUCCCAAAACCAUAGCCCAUCAAUAUAUACUAGGGGUGGGCAUCGGGACAGGAAAACGGAACACCGAACCGAACCGGUGAAAAAAAAUCGGAAAAAAAACCGGUUGACCAAAAAAGUCAACAAACUAGACCGAAACCGGUUCCAAACAGUUUCGGUUUCGGUUUUACACCCUACCGCACCGGACCGGUCAUAUAUAUACAUUUUUAUUUUUACAAAUUUUUAAAAUCUAAUGCCAUAUUUUAAAUUUUAUAAUCAUUAUUUUUCCAAGUUCAACUUCAAAAAAUUUCUAAAUGUAUGAAUUGGAUUAUUUGUUAAUUUUUAAGCCAAAAAAAUAAGUUAUUUAUUAUUAAAAAAAAUUUGGAAAAAAAUUAAAAAAUUAAAAAAUUAAUAAUCCAGUUCAAAAUCGGAACCGGUCAAAACCGAACCUGUCGGUUUUUGAAAUUUUUUUUGCCUAAAUGAAACCAAACCGAAUCGGUUAAAUAGUAUCGGUUUCGGUUCCGAUUUGAGGUGAGAACCGGACUGAACCGGACCGCGCCCA